RNAcentral lists this transfer RNA (65 nucleotides) under Tarbinskiellus portentosus. RNAcentral's name for it is "tRNA-Gly". The record is from RNAcentral. Lineage: Eukaryota; Metazoa; Arthropoda; Insecta; Orthoptera; Gryllidae.
UAUUUAUUUAGUAUAUUGAGUAUAUUUGAUUUCCAAUCAAAAGGAUUGUUGUAUCAAAAUAAAUA